This 492-nucleotide ribosomal RNA is filed under the name uncultured bacterium. Its description in RNAcentral is "partial 16S ribosomal RNA". It matches the Rfam family "Bacterial small subunit ribosomal RNA", at positions 29 to 507 of the family's 1533-position model. The record is from RNAcentral.
AGUGAACGCUGGCGGUAGGCCUAACACAUGCAAGUCGAACGGCAGCACAGUAAGAGCUUGCUCUUACGGGUGGCGAGUGGCGGACGGGUGCGGAAUACAUCGGAAUCUACUUUUUCGUGGGGGAUAACGUAGGGAAACUUACGCUAAUACCGCAUACGACCUACGGGUGAAAGCAGGGGAUCUUCGGACCUUGCGCGAUUGAAUGAGCCGAUGUCGGAUUAGCUAGUUGGCGGGGUAAAGGCCCACCAAGGCGACGAUCCGUAGCUGGUCUGAGAGGAUGAUCAGCCACACGGGAACUGAGACACGGUCCAGACUCCUACGGGAGGCAGCAGUGGGGAAUAUUGGACAAUGGGCGCAAGCCUGAUCCAGCCAUACCGCGUGGGUGAAGAAGGCCUUCGGGUUGUAAAGCCCUGUUGUUGGGAAAGAAAAGCAGCAGGUUAAUACCCCGCUGUUCUGACGGUACCCAAAGAAUAAGCACCGGCUAACUUCGUG